AGAGAAUAUGUGUAAGAGAAAUAGAGAGAGAGAGAGGAGAGACUAGUUUACCAGAGAACAAGCAAUUAUCACCUUUUGCGUGAAGUAAGCGGAUUGCCGGGAUUACACAGGGUGUUGGAUAUCGCCAAGGUCCUAGAGAAGCAACAUCGGAUAUAUAGGCGGUUCGAAAAAAUAUAUGGUUUUCAUCUUUCUGCGCAAAAUUCUUUAUCUAAAUCCUUGCUGGACCAGCAAAAAAAAAUAUUGGAACAUUGUCAGCUGUUCUGACACGAAAGGUCGAAUCCUAAAGAAAUGGAAAGAAAAAAAAAUGACUAGACUUCUUCACACCUGUACGAGCCAUUGGAACUUACGCCAUUGAAAUUUGCGCAGUGAAAUAAAGCUGAUAAACACAGAUUACACCUGUACAAAAAACAAUAAUGACCACCGUACUCAAAUCUUGUCAAUCAGAUUUUCACUCCAUCUUCACUUUACAUGAAAAACGGAAGGGUAUCCUGCCAUUGAAGCCUCCUAGGUUAGGCUUGAGCAUGAAAGUUUUUGCGAUUGGCAGGAAGGUGCCACUUGGAGUGCCACGAUAAUUCUGCAUAUCUAAUCAUAAAAAAAAAACCUUUUCACGUCGUCCAGGGCCAUGUUGCUUUAUCAUCGAGGUCUCGAGUGUUAUGAUAAGGGAGACGGGUUCGUGCUUUCCCGGAAAAGGCAAAUCUGGCCCGGGUUAAAUCCCUUAAUAACUAGACAUACUAACGCCAGGCUCUAAGGAGAAUUACUUCUAACGCUUCUAUAAAGCAUCUCUGUGCCCUCAGAAUACGUAUAACGAAUGUCCUUGUGGUAAGACUCUGGCUUCGCGCGAUGAAGUUUUGUGAACUGCAUAUUUAUAAAAUACAUUUCGUUGCCACAAAGGUGUGUACAGCGCCUAUGGUAAGACAGUUAUUUAUUGGCGUAAUCAUUAACGCCGCUAAAUAGCUCGACGAUUAAUUAACCAAUUGUUUCCGGAGAACGUGUAAUUAGACGCGUGCAGGCACGCUGACCCAUCGAGCAAUCAAUAACUAAUAGGGCUGCGCUGCAUACGAUCAUUGAAGUCUUAGAAAAGGACGUAAUGAAUUACUUACAAGGUAUGCAUUAAAACAUGAGACAGAACGUUAGAGUUUCAUCCAGAAGAUGGUAGAGGAUGAAGAAAAAGGAGGUCGCAGAGAUCUAACAGGAUUUUUGGACGAAUGUCAGUUUAAGAGGUGAGACUAUGGAAAAGCUUUAAAAAAAUGUGAAAAUAAUAUUACCUUGCGGUAUUUUAAUUGUUUUAGGUGUGUCGCGCUUCUGUUCUCUCUCAAGAUUGUGACUACUGUAACAAGGCGAAUUUUAAUGUCUACUACGACGUUUGGCUACUAAAACUUUCUGUAUCUAAGAACACAGUCGCUUCUUCUGAAAGGCUUGCGACAGUAGAAAAGCAGCUGAUAAUUUAAACAGACGAUAUCUCUCCAUCGUCAAUGCGAAUAACAAUGCGUACUAGUUUAUCGUGUACUGUAUUGUAGGGUAACAUUAUAAGUUAUUUAGAAGUAAAGUGCGUUAGCCGUAAUCGUGAUACGGGGCUAGGCACUAAUAUAUAGUGAAUACGGUUUCAUUAGGUUCGGUAUACUAUUGUUAAAAUUAAUCAAUUAAGUGCGAUAGCGGUUCAUUACCCCGAAUGACUGUCCAGUCUGUAGACGUGUAAUUUUGCUCCGACGAGCAUAUGCGGAAUAGGUCAUUGAAAAAAUGAAAAUCUCUUUAGUACGAUUCAUUAGAGUGUAAUGGUACUUACUACUAAUGGGGUAGGGUGGAGUAAUGUAUUGUUUUAAUGAGAAAUGGAAUAAGUAAAUACAAUGUAUCGCUGAGCGGAUUACCGACCAGUCUCAAUAGAAGCUUCUGACAAUUCGUUGGAGUUUAUCAUACGGAAGAUUGGACUUUAGGUUUGAGGGGUAAUUAACUGUAAAAUGUUACCUGGGGUACGUUACGUCUCUCUGCGACCCCGUAAAUACAUGACUUUACGAACACCUUCAUACACACACCCUCUGGUCCUGUCUGACGCCGUGUAAUUUUCCAGUUUUAAGUAUAGUCUGCUUCGGCCCGGAAACUUUUUAACGCCCUCAAGUAAAAAACAAGAGCACAAUAAUAAUCUGGCCCAAAGGUCAUUGCCGUAGGGAAAAUCUUUUGAAAAGUAGCUACACUAUUGUGCCUGUAACUGGAAUCGGAGCAAGAUCAACGUUAACAUCCAGCAGCCGUGCAAUUCCUUCCUGCUAGGAGGAACACCUGACUUGAAUGGUAGUGGGAUGUACGACUGGGUAUGAAAACGUGCAAAAAAUUGUAUAGAAGGAAAAAAAGAAUACAAGCAGCCAGUUGGCUGAGGAAUUUUUCGCAGAGCUCUCUGUACUACGGUAUAAAGUAUUCCUCUCCAUAUCUAUUAAGCACACAAUAAAUAUUCGUUCUAUGCUUCUUCUUGAGAUGAUAUCGAUGUAAUAACUUUGUAUUAUUUCAGGAUUCGGAUGUGUCAGGACGAUUCCGCAGAAAGAGUAAUGGCUCCGUGAUAUUACGUUGAAUUGAUUUCUGAGAUUUUUAAUAGGAAACUUGAAAAAUUCACCAAGAAAUACUGUACUGGCGCAGUACGGCAAAAUUUUUUUUCUCUUGCCUGAACUUAAUUGGCCAUUGUCACUCUAUAAUGUUUACGGUAUGGUAAUAUCCAUAUAUGGACGAAGUAAUAAAAUAGAACAAAGGCCGUGUCUAUGUUUACCACUGAUGCAAUUUUGCACGAGCUACUCGCGCUGUGUUUAUAACGCUUGUAAUAGUGUCAGGUGUGUUUUUGGCUCGAGUGAAUUUAAUCGAGUUGGCUUAACAGCGGCUGUGGGCAACGUUUGAAAUGAUAAGAGUUUAAAAAAUAGGAAGCGUGCGAAAGGCGAAGCAAGACCAAGAUGAGAGAGAAGAUUAAGGCCUCCCAUUUACUAUAAAUAUCAUUUAAUCUAAAGGUCCAAAGGAUACCGUGGAUCAUUAAGACCGGGUUGCCGUCUCCAUGAUAAAAGAGAGAGGGAGGAUGAUAAAUUGAAACUGUACGUCCGUCCUUUUCACAUGGAUAAUCAUAUUCAAAUGGAAGAGACGAGGGCGUUUAAAAGGAGGAAAAAUAAAAAGAAAAAAGGGCCACUCGAAUCGCACGCUAUAAGGAAGAGAAAAGGAAGUAAACCCGGUAUUCUCAAUGGAGUUCCCAUUUAUUGCACACAAACAUUUAUUCAACGUAGAUAAACUUUAAAGUUCCAAGCUGGCAAUAAACCCACGAGUAAUCGUAAAACCAAAGAAGAAGAUCAGAAACCGUAAUACACCUGACGUUGGUCGUAUAUUCAAGUUAAAAAAAUAGACUUGCUAUAGAGAAUUACGAUAGCAUUAUUCAUUUAUCAUCGAGGGAUCUCGAUGUUAAUAUCAAAAGUUUAAGUGGAAACAGACAAUAGUCCCCACGAAUCCCAAGGGUGGCCUUCGAUAAUUCAUUAUCUUCAAUGACGUACCAUUGAUAUGAAAUCAAACUCGUGUCAAUUAACAGAACCGAAGACAAUUGGAUACCUAUGAUUGUCUAGUAAAGUGCAACCUGUAGCAAUAGACUGUAGUAAGAAGAAAGGUGGAAAUAGAAAAAAAAACUAUGAAAAUAAGCAGAG
This is a long non-coding RNA of Cephus cinctus (wheat stem sawfly), 3656 nucleotides long. RefSeq lists it as uncharacterized. NCBI's taxonomy places the organism in Eukaryota, Metazoa, Arthropoda, Insecta, Hymenoptera, Cephidae. The transcript has 5 exons. The record is from RefSeq and is a predicted model, not a curated record.